UAAGAUAUGGAACCUGAAUCUGUAGCUAGA
RNAcentral lists this non-coding RNA (30 nucleotides) under Rattus norvegicus (Norway rat). The record is from RNAcentral. Lineage: Eukaryota; Metazoa; Chordata; Mammalia; Rodentia; Muridae.